Molecule: long non-coding RNA, 1293 nt
Filed under: Ixodes scapularis (black-legged tick)
Lineage: Eukaryota; Metazoa; Arthropoda; Arachnida; Ixodida; Ixodidae
Description: uncharacterized LOC121833435
Source: RNAcentral
GGGGUAAACAAACAUCGGCGUCGGCCAUGGCGGCCGUGUUGUAGCGGGGAUCGCGAGUCUUUUAUUUAUUGUAGCCCGGUUAAAAUUUGCCGAGUCCACAAGAUCGAGCAGCUUUGUGCCCCUUACGAUUCCUCCGUCGUCUGCUAGAGGCAUUUCGAAGAUUCCAAGAUGAAGACGACGAAGAUCAUCAAAGAGAAGGCGCUUGCCUAGCCUCGCGAUUGAAACGCCGGUUGCGCCGGUCACUACGAGACCGCCGCCCGAUUGUACCGGUCCCAGAUGGGCUGUUGACAUCCAGAAACACACCAACAGAUGGUGGUCAUACAGCGAUUGUGAAGACAUUCCCAUUUGGAUCCACAUUCCUAGUCCACUCAUUGAUAAUCUUUCCUUGUUUCAUCAAUGCCCAAGUAUGCCAGGCGCCAAGUGACUACUCGCAUGUGUUAGUAACGGUGGCAUGCGAGGCUUCAGUAUUGUCGCUGCAGAUAGGGCUCACCCUCACACCAAUGCUGUUUGUGGUGUACCUUUCCAUGGAAUUGUUUGGUUGAUUCCAAUUUCCUAGAAACGCCAAUAUUCAGUUUGGUGGGCCUUGAGUAGAUUCGUCGAGGAGGUCUCGUCUCUUUCCUGGGGGUAAUACCGUGUCAGCUGCUUUGCAUGAGCCACUUGGAAACUGUUCGGACCGCUCUAAAGCACUUGUGAUUGACCUUACCUGUUGUGUCCAUGCUAAUGCUGAAAUGUAAAGUUCACUGAACCAAGUUUUACUAAUGAACAAACACAAUCAGUGGAAAGGUUGAAUGGCUUUAUUUGUUUUCUCGAAGUAUACAGUGUUUCAUACAUAAUACAUGAUGCUGGCAAGGCUACUUUCAUUAGCACGCAGGCAACUUAGUCUACAUUCUGUUUCACGAUAGCUUGGUGAACUGUGGAGGCUACGGCUUCUGCGACCCAGUAAGAAUGUCGGAGCGAGGCACAUGGACGCAUGUCACAGGAGCGUUCGUGUCACUGCGCCAAAUGCAAGGACCACCCGCCAGAACCGGCUGUCGUCUUACAACCACAUGCUCAAUUUGCCCAUGAAUCUGUGGCGGGUGCUAAUGCUAGGGCGAUGUUUUGAGCGGAAGUGGUCGAUUCACGGCUACGAUUGUUUGAACUUCGAUCACAAGCCAUGUUUUUCUCAAAAAAGUGUUGAUCUAUAUUAAGUGUCGCUAAUCAGUAACAUGUGUCUUCGUCUUUCUUCAGUGUCGUGUAGUGUUGCGGUCCGAAGAAUCCGACGGCAACACUACUAAAAGAAGAAGAAAAAACAAA